GUAAUAUAUCGGAACGUGCCCAGUCUGGGGGAUAACGUAAGCGAAAGCUACGCUAAUACCGCAUACGAUCUAUGGAUGAGAGCGGGGGAUCGCAAGACCUCGCGCGAUUGGAGCGGCCGAUAUCAGAUUAGGUAGUUGGUGAGGUAAAGGCUCACCAAGCCGACGAUCUGUAGCUGGUCUGAGAGGACGACCAGCCACACUGGGACUGAGACACGGCCCAGACUCCUACGGGAGGCAGCAGUGGGGAAUUUUGGACAAUGGGCGCAAGCCUGAUCCAGCAAUGCCGCGUGCAGGAUGAAGGCCUUCGGGUUGUAAACUGCUUUUGUACGGAACGAAACGGUGAGCUCUAAUACAGUUUGCUAAUGACGGUACCGUAAGAAUAAGCACCGGCUAACUACGUG
Molecule: ribosomal RNA, 401 nt
Filed under: uncultured bacterium
Lineage: Bacteria
Description: bacterial SSU rRNA
Rfam family: Bacterial small subunit ribosomal RNA
Source: RNAcentral